GUGGGUAUAGCUUAAUGGUAGAGUGUGUACUUUGCAUACAUAAGGUCCUGGGUUCAGUCCCCAGUACCUCCA
RNAcentral lists this transfer RNA (72 nucleotides) under Camelus bactrianus (Bactrian camel). It matches the Rfam family "tRNA". Rfam says of the family: Transfer RNA (tRNA) molecules are approximately 80 nucleotides in length. Lineage: Eukaryota; Metazoa; Chordata; Mammalia; Artiodactyla; Camelidae. The record is from Rfam by way of RNAcentral. RNAcentral also lists the same sequence under 1 other name.